GUUCCGUAGGUGAACCUGCGGAAGGAUCAUUAUUGAAUGAAACACUUCUGGCUUUAUGCUGUUGUGCUGGCCCUUUGGGCAAUGUGCACACGGCUCUGGUCACUUGUUUCUUCUGUUCCACCUGUGCACUGCCUGUAGACACGCUGUGUCUAUGAUAUUUGUUAACACACAACAAUGUUAGUUGGCAUGUUAUAUAUAAUAAUAAAAUAUACAACUUUCAACAACGGAUCUCUUGGCUCUC
RNAcentral lists this unclassified non-coding RNA (241 nucleotides) under plant metagenome. RNAcentral describes it as "partial contains small subunit ribosomal RNA, internal transcribed spacer 1, and 5.8S ribosomal RNA". The record is from RNAcentral.